RNAcentral lists this ribosomal RNA (501 nucleotides) under uncultured bacterium. RNAcentral's name for it is "partial 16S ribosomal RNA". It matches the Rfam family "Bacterial small subunit ribosomal RNA", at positions 30 to 523 of the family's 1533-position model. The record is from RNAcentral.
AUUGAACGCUGGCGGCAGGCUUAACACAUGCAAGUCGAGCGGGGGAAGGUAGCUUGCUACCGGACCUAGCGGCGGACGGGUGAGUAAUGCUUAGGAAUCUGCCUAUUAGUGGGGGACAACAUCUCAAAAGGGAUGCUAAUACCGCAUACGUCCUACGGGAGAAAGCAGGGGAUCUUCGGACCUUGCGCUAAUAGAUGAGCCUAAGUCGGAUUAGCUAGUUGGUGGGGUAAAGGCCUACCAAGGCGACGAUCUGUAGCGGGUCUGAGAGGAUGAUCCGCCACACUGGGACUGAGACACGGCCCAGACUCCUACGGGAGGCAGCAGUGGGGAAUAUUGGACAAUGGGGGGAACCCUGAUCCAGCCAUGCCGCGUGUGUGAAGAAGGCCUUAUGGUUGUAAAGCACUUUAAGCGAGGAGGAGGCUACUUUAGUUAAUACCUAGAGAUAGUGGACGUUACUCGCAGAAUAAGCACCAGCUAACUCUGUGCCAGCAGCCGCCGUAA